GCGCACUUAACUCAGCUGGUAGAGUGUCACCUUGACGUGGUGAAAGUCAGGGGUUCGAGUCCCUUAGUGCGCACCA
Molecule: transfer RNA, 76 nt
Filed under: Bacillota bacterium
Lineage: Bacteria; Bacillati; Bacillota
Description: tRNA-Val
Rfam family: tRNA
About the family: Transfer RNA (tRNA) molecules are approximately 80 nucleotides in length. Their secondary structure includes four short double-helical elements and three loops (D, anti-codon, and T loops).
Source: RNAcentral